UAGUCCACGCCGUAAACGAUGGAUACUAGCUGUCCGGGGCUUUAAGUUCUGGGCGGCCAAGCGAAAGUGAUAAGUAUCCCACCUGGGGAGUACGUUCGCAAGAAUGAAACUCAAAGGAAUUGACGGGGCCCGCACAAGCGGUGGAGCAUGUGGUUUAAUUCGAUGAUACGCGAGGAACCUUACCAGGGCUUAAAUGCAUAUUGACAGGGUCAGAGAUGACUUUUCCUUCGGGCAAUUUGCAAGGUGCUGCAUGGUUGUCGUCAGCUCGUGCCGUGAGGUGUCAGGUUAAGUCCUAUAACGAGCGCAACCCUUAUCGUUAGUUGCUAGCAGGUAAAGCUGAGGACUCUAGCGAGACUGCCGGUGCAAACCGUGAGGAAGGUGGGGAUGACGUCAAAUCAUCACGGCCCUUACGUCCUGGGGCUACACACGUGCUACAAUGGUAUGGGACAAUGAGCAGCCACUAUGCGAAUAGGGAGC
Molecule: ribosomal RNA, 477 nt
Filed under: uncultured bacterium
Lineage: Bacteria
Description: bacterial SSU rRNA
Rfam family: Bacterial small subunit ribosomal RNA
Source: RNAcentral